This 443-nucleotide ribosomal RNA is filed under the name uncultured bacterium. Its description in RNAcentral is "partial 16S ribosomal RNA". It matches the Rfam family "Bacterial small subunit ribosomal RNA", at positions 338 to 795 of the family's 1533-position model. The record is from RNAcentral.
CCUACGGGUGGCAGCAGUGGGGAAUAUUGGGCAAUGGGCGCAAGCCUGACCCAGCAACGCCGCGUGAAGGAAGAAGGCUUUCGGGUUGUAAACUUCUUUUUUCAGGGACGAAGCAAGUGACGGUACCUGACGAAUAAGCCACGGCUAACUACGUGCCAGCAGCCGCGGUAAUACGGAGGGUGCAAGCGUUGUCCGGAAUCAUUGGGCGUAAAGAUUUCGUAGGUGGCAUAUUAAGUCUGGUGUUAAAUGCAGAAGCUCAACUUCUGUUCGGCACUGGAUACUGGUAAGCUUGAAUGCGGUAGAGGUAAAGGGAAUGCCUGGUGUAGCGGUGAAAUGCGUAGAUAUCAGGAGGAACAUCGGUGGCGUAAGCGCUUUACUGGGCCGUAAUUGACACUGAGGAACGAAAGCCGGGGUAGCAAAUGGGAUUAGAUACCCCGGUAGUC